AGAAAUAUGAAAAUAGAAAAAAUGUUAUUUCAUGCUGCUAUUAAAGACAAGUAUGUGGUUUAGAGCAGCGGAGUCACAUCAGACUGAAUCUGACGUUUGGAAUCACAGCUGUCAAAUAAGAAUCACAUUAGUUUAUUUUAUUUAGUUUCUUUUAGACCCUCAGUAGUUGCAGCAGUCCUCCUUCCUGGGCUUCAUAUAAACCUUUACAUUUACAUAUGAAAAGCAGC
This is a long non-coding RNA of Sphaeramia orbicularis (orbiculate cardinalfish), 227 nucleotides long. RefSeq lists it as uncharacterized. The record is from RefSeq and is a predicted model, not a curated record. NCBI's taxonomy places the organism in Eukaryota, Metazoa, Chordata, Actinopteri, Kurtiformes, Apogonidae. The transcript has 2 exons.